Long non-coding RNA from Rhododendron vialii, 293 nucleotides. RefSeq lists it as uncharacterized. The transcript is spliced from 3 exons. The record is from RefSeq and is a predicted model, not a curated record. NCBI's taxonomy places the organism in Eukaryota, Viridiplantae, Streptophyta, Magnoliopsida, Ericales, Ericaceae.
UGAUCCUUAUCGAAGUUCUCUCUCUCCGAAGACCGUGGAAGCUCUUAUUUGUACGCAACAAUGAAUAAGGAAACCAACUAAAAUCAAUAUAAAAGAACAACUUGAUGAGUUGGAGCAAUUAGAUUCGGUUGUCUUGGAAUCAAUUGAUAACGAUUAAGGAGUUGGUGGCAACCAUUGCAUGCUGCAAUUGUUUUUUCAUGGUUGAGAUUGUUGGCAACUUGGCGUAUUUUGAAGUAUGGUGGUGCAGUUUUCAAGUUGGGGAUGGUUCUAUAUUCUGCUGGUUCUGCAAUCUG